UGCUAUUUGGACUACGGUAGUUCCUAAAGAAACUUAUGUGAUUUCUGAAGAUGCCUUGGAGACAAGCACAAGAGAACUAGGAAGCAAAUGAGGAAAAGCAAUAU
Molecule: non-coding RNA, 104 nt
Organism: Sesamum indicum (sesame)
Lineage: Eukaryota; Viridiplantae; Streptophyta; Magnoliopsida; Lamiales; Pedaliaceae
Source: RefSeq, a predicted model, not a curated record